This is a long non-coding RNA of Trichechus manatus latirostris (Florida manatee), 401 nucleotides long. RefSeq lists it as uncharacterized. The record is from RefSeq and is a predicted model, not a curated record. Lineage: Eukaryota; Metazoa; Chordata; Mammalia; Sirenia; Trichechidae. The transcript is spliced from 3 exons.
AGAAGGAAUGGAUGACCAUCAAUCAAGGUUGUUAUGGACCUGGAUGGACAUAGACUAGAUGAGUUCCAAAGAUGGAUCCUUCUGCAGGGACUACAAAGUAACAUUAAUACAAUUGCUCCAGGCAGCUCCUGCCAAUUGAUUAGAGUUUGUAGACAAGUUCAAACCUGUUUAUCAUCCUGGAAUUGCACUGAACUUAGAAAUGCCCAGAUGAUUGAUCAGAGUUUUAAUGCAAUAACAUCUGCUGAGCACCCCCUAUGGACCAGGAAUUGGGCUCAGUGUUAUACCUGCAUUUUCUCAUAAUUCUUACAGCAACCCUAUGAGCCACCAGAGAACCAAAGUUUAAAGUGUAAAAUCAGCUUUUCUCUAGACCAGUGAGGACCCCUCACCCCAACCACCCACAC